AUGUUAACAAGGAUGUUGGUUCCGGCACCAUAUCAAGUGUCGGCAAAGGAAGACAAGGAGGAGAGCAAGAAGGCCCAGGGUGGCCCCCAUUCUAGAGGUAUGCCAGGCACCUCAUCCGGGGAGAUUGGAACUCCCUCUUCCGAAGAUGAAAGCGAAGGAGAAACUGACAUCCCUUCUCCCCAUUGGAAGAAGAGGACCGCCUCCGAGGACUUGAAGAUAAAGGCUUCUAAGCGAGGGAAGAUAUCCCUGUCAGGGAGUUCUGGUUUGGGAGGCGACAUUGUCACGCAGUUCCUCCAUAAGGACAAGCCCUUAGCUGAAUCAUAA
This 324-nucleotide ribosomal RNA is filed under the name Triticum aestivum (bread wheat). RNAcentral describes it as "partial small subunit ribosomal RNA". Lineage: Eukaryota; Viridiplantae; Streptophyta; Magnoliopsida; Poales; Poaceae. The record is from RNAcentral.